This 490-nucleotide ribosomal RNA is filed under the name uncultured bacterium. Its description in RNAcentral is "partial 16S ribosomal RNA". It matches the Rfam family "Bacterial small subunit ribosomal RNA", at positions 28 to 507 of the family's 1533-position model. The record is from RNAcentral.
GAUGAACGCUAGCGAUAGGCUUAACACAUGCAAGUCGAGGGGCAGCAUGGUCUUAGCUUGCUAAGACUGAUGGCGACCGGCGCACGGGUGCGUAACGCGUAUGCAACUUGCCUCACAGAGGGGGAUAACCCGUCGAAAGACGGACUAAUACCGCGUACACUCUAUUUUGGGCAUCCAAGGUAGAGGAAAUGAAAUUCGCUGUGAGAUAGGCAUGCGUCCCAUUAGCUAGUUGGUGAGGUAACGGCUCACCAAGGCGACGAUGGGUAGGGGAACUGAGAGGUUGAACCCCCACACUGGUACUGAGACACGGACCAGACUCCUACGGGAGGCAGCAGUGAGGAAUAUUGGUCAAUGGGCGAGAGCCUGAACCAGCCAAGUCGCGUGAAGGAUGACUGUCUUAGGGAUUGUAAACUUCUUUUGUAGGGGAAUAAAGAGGGGCACGUGUGCCCCAGUGAAUGUACCCUACGAAUAAGCAUCGGCUAACUCCGUG